This is a long non-coding RNA of Homo sapiens (human), 826 nucleotides long. RefSeq lists it as uncharacterized. Lineage: Eukaryota; Metazoa; Chordata; Mammalia; Primates; Hominidae. The record is from RefSeq and is a predicted model, not a curated record. The transcript is spliced from 2 exons.
GACCCCACUGUUCAACUCACCUGGCAGCCACUCCCAGAGCCCCUGGAACUCUGGCCCAAGGCUCUCUGACUGACUCCUUCCCAGAUUUACUCGGCUUAGCGGCUGAAGACCGAUGCUGCCCGAUUGCCUCGGAAGCCCCCUAGACCAUCACGGACGCCAAGCUUUGGGUAACUCUCACAGUGGAGGGGGGGAAACACUGUGGACUGGCAUGCUGCUGGCCACCACUUCCCAGCUGAAGACUCAGGAGCGCCAUGUGGAAGAACUCAUCUCACAGAUAUUGGCAAAAGCUACCAAGCAGGACUUGAUUUAUUGUUUUGUUCAUUGUCUAGACUAAGAAAGUGAUGAAAUGUUAAUAAUGGAUAAUGAUUAAUGAAAUGGAUAAUGAAAAUGAAAAAUAAUUAAUGUAAAUUAAAUGUGAAAGUGUGUCCUACUUGUAGCUGUUAUACUGUGAAUAACUUUAAGAAGAAACCUUAGUAAAUAUUCCUCCAGUUUUCAAAAAUUAUUUUCUAGUUCGGCAAAGAAGUCAUUCACAUCACUGAUAAAUGAAUGAAGUUCUAACAGAUGUCUUUAUUGAUUCACUUUUAUUUUAUUUGUUAACAUAAAUGAAAAUACAGGUGAUGUUCAUGUCAGAACACUUUCAUCAAAUGCAACCACAGUUUGGCUAUGAAUAUAGAAGCCUGGCAAAAAUCAAUAAAAGCAGUCUGUGAGAAUCAAUUGAUUAUAAGGAAUUUCCAAUAAAGAAUAUUAUAUAUGUUGUUACUUGUAAAUAGCAUGAUAUACCUUCUUUAUAUCAGAAAAGUUUAUAAUAAAGUUAUGUGUGUAUGUA